RNAcentral lists this non-coding RNA (223 nucleotides) under Staphylococcus hyicus. Its description in RNAcentral is "Enterococcus sRNA A1". It matches the Rfam family "Enterococcus sRNA A1". From Rfam's summary of the family: Name 'Ref' stands for RNA in E. faecalis. Encoded by pTEF1 plasmid. Lineage: Bacteria; Bacillati; Bacillota; Bacilli; Caryophanales; Staphylococcaceae. The record is from RNAcentral.
AUCCGAACAUUUGCUAAAACCUUAAUCGACCUUCGUCGAUUUUUUAUUUUAAAUUCAAAGAAACGGCUUGAGAUAUUCCGAGCAGUUAUAAAAAUUAAUUUGCGUUGAAUAUUGCUACUGCAUUCUUGAAAAAGUGAUGCAGAUUUAUAGCCCAUAACUUUUUUGAAUUCCAUCGACGAUACGGCGUCGAAAGAAAAAUAAACAGACCGUAUGAAAGAAAAAG